CGCGGUUAUUUCCAAUCCAGGAUCAGCUCAGAUGGAUCAUGAAGGAGAAGCAUACCUAUGAUGGAUAAUGAAGAACAAAACAGUCUUACAGACUGGCUCCCAUCAAAUUUCAGAAUAUGUACAUCAUCAGAAGAAUACAUCAGGAAUUGUUUCUUCAGAAGAAGAACUGAGACAUCUUCUGGAAAGCCACAAGCGUGCAUCUGGCACAUCUUACACUGUUUGCAUACUGAACACGAAUACACAAGAAGA
Long non-coding RNA from Onychostoma macrolepis, 249 nucleotides. RefSeq lists it as uncharacterized. The transcript has 3 exons. Lineage: Eukaryota; Metazoa; Chordata; Actinopteri; Cypriniformes; Cyprinidae. The record is from RefSeq and is a predicted model, not a curated record.